CAAUGUCUUGCCUCAGUACGGCGAGUGAAGCGGCAACAGCUCAAAUUUGAAAUCUGGCCCCAGGCCCGAGUUGUAAUUUGCAGAGGAUGUUUCUGGCGAGGUGCCUUCCGAGUUCCCUGGAACGGGACGCCAUAGAGGGUGAGAGCCCCGUACGGUUGGUCGCUAAGCCUCUGUGAAACUCCUUCGACGAGUCGAGUAGUUUGGGAAUGCUGCUCUAAAUGGGAGGUAUACGUCUUCUAAAGCUAAAUACCGGCCAGAGACCGAUAGCGCACAAGUAGAGUGAUCGAAAGAUGAAAAGCACUUUGAAAAGAGGGUUAAAUAGUACGUGAAAUUGUUGAAAGGGAAGCGCUUAUGACCAGACUUGGACCGGUUGAUCAUCCAUCGUUCUCGGUGGUGCACUCUGCCGGUUCAGGCCAGCAUCAGUUUGUCCCGGGGGAUAAAGGCUUUGGGAAUGUGGCUCCUCCGGGAGUGUUAUAGCCCACUGUGUAAUACCCUGGGAUAGACUGAGGUUCGCGCUCCGCAAGGAUGCUGGCGUAAUGGUCAUCAGCGACCCGCUGAAAAAGGGGGGGCAAAAAACAAUAAAAGAAGGGGGGGGCAAAAAAGAUUCGGGACA
Molecule: ribosomal RNA, 613 nt
Filed under: Verruciconidia persicina
Lineage: Eukaryota; Fungi; Ascomycota; Sordariomycetes; Hypocreales; Bionectriaceae
Description: Acremonium persicinum partial large subunit ribosomal RNA
Rfam family: Eukaryotic large subunit ribosomal RNA
Source: RNAcentral